GAGGGAAUAUUGGACAAUGGGGGAAACCCUGAUCCAGCAAUUCCGCGUGAGCGAAGAAGGCCUUCGGGUUGUAAAGCUCUUUCGGCGGGGACGAUAAUGACGGUACCCGCAGAAGAAGCCCCGGCCAACUACGUGCCAGCAGCCGCGGUAAUACGGAGGAUCCGAGCGUUAUCCGGAAUUAUUGGGUUUAAAGGGUCCGUAGGCGGGAGAAUUAGUCAGUGGUGAAAGUCUGUGGCUCAACCAUAGAAUUGCCGUUGAAACUGGUUUCCUUGAGUCAUUAUGAAGUGGUUAGAACAUGUAGUGUAGCGGUGAAAUGCAUAGAUAUUACAUAGAAUACCGAUUGCGUAGGCAGAUCACUAAUAAUGUACUGACGCUGAGGGACGAAAGCGUAGGUAGCGAACAGGAUUAGAUACCCUGGUAGUCUACGCCGUAAACGAUGGUUACUAGCUGUUUGUCCGAUUGAGGAUGAGUGGUUAAGCGAAAGUGAUAAGUAACCCACCUGGGGAGUACGUUCGCAAGAAUG
Molecule: ribosomal RNA, 523 nt
Filed under: uncultured bacterium CompB
Lineage: Bacteria
Description: bacterial SSU rRNA
Rfam family: Bacterial small subunit ribosomal RNA
Source: RNAcentral